This 513-nucleotide ribosomal RNA is filed under the name uncultured bacterium. RNAcentral describes it as "partial 16S ribosomal RNA". It matches the Rfam family "Bacterial small subunit ribosomal RNA", at positions 28 to 523 of the family's 1533-position model. The record is from RNAcentral.
GAUGAACGCUGGCGGCGUGCCUAAUACAUGCAAGUCGAGCGAACAGACGAGGAGCUUGCUCCUCUAACGUUAGCGGCGGACGGGUGAGUAACACGUGGAUAACCUACCUAUAAGACUGGGAUAACUUCGGGAAACCGGAGCUAAUACCGGAUAAUAUAUUGAACCGCAUGGUUCAAUAGUGAAAGACGGUUUUGCUGUCACUUAUAGAUGGAUCCGCGCCGCAUUAGCUAGUUGGUAAGGUAACAGCUUACCAAGGCAACGAUGCGUAGCCGACCUGAGAGGGUGAUCGGCCACACUGGAACUGAGACACGGUCCAGACUCCUACGGGAGGCAGCAGUAGGGAAUCUUCCGCAAUGGGCGAAAGCCUGACGGAGCAACGCCGCGUGAGUGAUGAAGGUCUUCGGAUCGUAAAACUCUGUUAUUAGGGAAGAACAAAUGUGUAAGUAACUAUGCACGUCUUGACGGUACCUAAUCAGAAAGCCACGGCUAACUACGUGCCAGCCGCCGCAGUAA